AGAGUUUGAUUAUGGCUCAGAUUGAACGCUGGCGGCAUGCCUAACACAUGCAAGUCGAACGGCAGCAUGGUCUAGCUUGCUAGACUGAUGGCGAGUGGCGCACGGGUGAGUAACGCGUAGGAAUAUAGCUCAAAGAGGGGGACAACCUGAGGAAACUCAGGCUAAUACCGCAUAAGCUCUGAGGAGUAAAGCUGGGGACCUUAUGGCCUGGCGCUUUGAGAUUAGCCUGCGUCCGAUUAGCUAGUUGGUAGGGUAAAGGCCUACCAAGGCGACGAUCGGUAGCUGGUCUGAGAGGAUGGUCAGCCACACUGGGACUGAGACACGGCCCAGACUCCUACGGGAGGCAGCAGUGGGGAAUAUUGGACAAUGGGGGCAACCCUGAUCCAGCAAUGCCGCGUGUGUGAAGAAGGCCUAUGGGUUGUAAGCACUUUCAGUGGGGAGGAGGAUUCUCUGGUUAAGAGCUGGAGAAUUGGACGUUACCCACAGAAGAAGCACCGGCUAACUCCGUGCCAGCAGCCGCGGUAAUACGGAGGGUGCGAGCGUUAAUCGGAAUUACUGGGCGUAAAGGGUGCGUAGGUGGUUUGAUAAGUUGGCUGUGAAAUACCGGGGCUUAACCUUGGGGCGUCAGCCAAGACUGUCAGGCUUGAGUAUAGGAGAGGGCAGUGGAAUUUCCGGUGUAGCGGUGAAAUGCGUAGAGAUCGGAAGGAACACCAGUGGCGAAGGCGUCUGCCUGGCCUAAUACUGACACUGAGGCACGAAAGCGUGGGUAGCAAACAGGAUUAGAUACCCUGGUAGUC
RNAcentral lists this ribosomal RNA (797 nucleotides) under uncultured Legionella sp. RNAcentral describes it as "bacterial SSU rRNA". It matches the Rfam family "Bacterial small subunit ribosomal RNA", at positions 8 to 795 of the family's 1533-position model. Lineage: Bacteria; Pseudomonadati; Pseudomonadota; Gammaproteobacteria; Legionellales; Legionellaceae. The record is from RNAcentral.